Molecule: non-coding RNA, 45 nt
Filed under: Schistosoma mansoni
Lineage: Eukaryota; Metazoa; Platyhelminthes; Trematoda; Strigeidida; Schistosomatidae
Source: RNAcentral
AUCCUGCUGAUGAGUCCCAGACAGGACGAAACGCGCUUCCUGAAU